UGGGGAAUUUUGGACAAUGGGCGAAAGCCUGAUCCAGCAAUGCCGCGUGUGUGAAGAAGGCCUUCGGGUUGUAAAGCACUUUUGUCCGGAAAGAAAUCCUUGGCUCUAAUACAGUCGGGGGAUGACGGUACCGGAAGAAUAAGCACCGGCUAACUACGUGCCAGCAGCCGCGGUAAUACGUAGGGUGCAAGCGUUAAUCGGAAUUACUGGGCGUAAAGCGUGCGCAGGCGGUUUGCUAAGACCGAUGUGAAAUCCCCGGGCUCAACCUGGGAACUGCAUUGGUGACUGGCAGGCUAGAGUAUGGCAGAGGGGGGUUAGAAUUCCACGUGUAGCAGUGAAAUGCGUAGAGAUGUGGAGGAAUACCGAUGGCGAAGGCAGCCCCCUGGGCCAAUACUGACGCUCAUGCACGAAAGCGUGGGGAGCAAACAGGAUUAGAUACCCUGGUAGUCCACGCCCUAAACGAUGUCAACUAGUUGUUGGGGAUUCAUUUCCUUAGUAACGUAGCUAACGCGUGAAGUUGACCGCCUGGGGAGUACGUCGCAAGAUUAAAACUCAAAUGAAUUGACGGGGUCAUAGCUGUUUCCU
This 585-nucleotide ribosomal RNA is filed under the name uncultured bacterium. Its description in RNAcentral is "partial 16S ribosomal RNA". It matches the Rfam family "Bacterial small subunit ribosomal RNA", at positions 355 to 1375 of the family's 1533-position model. The record is from RNAcentral.